RNAcentral lists this ribosomal RNA (497 nucleotides) under uncultured bacterium. Its description in RNAcentral is "partial 16S ribosomal RNA". It matches the Rfam family "Bacterial small subunit ribosomal RNA", at positions 28 to 507 of the family's 1533-position model. The record is from RNAcentral.
GAUGAACGCUGGCGGCGUGCCUAAUACAUGCAAGUCGAGCGAACGGACGAGAAGCUUGCUUCUCUGAUGUUAGCGGCGGACGGGUGAGUAACACGUGGAUAACCUACCUAUAAGACUGGGAUAACUUCGGGAAACCGGAGCUAAUACCGGAUAAUAUUUUGAACCGCAUGGUUCAAAAGUGAAAGACGGUCUUGCUGUCACUUAUAGAUGGAUCCGCGCUGCAUUAGCUAGUUGGUAAGGUAACGGCUUACCAAGGCAACGAUGCAUAGCCGACCUGAGAGGGUGAUCGGCCACACUGGAACUGAGACACGGUCCAGACCCCGACGGGAGGCAGCAGUCGGGAAUCUUCCGCAAUGGGCGAAAGCCUGACGGAGCCACGCCGCGUGUGUGAUGAAGGUCUUCGGAUCGUAAAACUCUGUUAUUAGGGAAGAACAUAUGUGUAAGUAACUGUGCACAUCUUGACGGUACCUAAUCAGAAAGCCACGGCUAACUACGUG